CACGUAGUUCGCCGGGGCUUCUUAGUCAGGUACCGUCAUUAUCUUCCCUGCUGAUAGAGCUUUACAUACCGAAAUACUUCUUCGCUCACGCGGCGUCGCUGCAUCAGGGUUUCCCCCAUUGUGCAAUAUUCCCCACUGCUGCCUCCCGUAGGAGUUUGGGCCGUGUCUCAGUCCCAAUGUGGCCGAUCGCCCUCUCAGGCCGGCUACUGAUCGUCGGUUUGGUGGGCCGUUACCCCGCCAACUGCCUAAUCAGACGCGGGCCCAUCCCAUACCACCGGAGUUUUUCACACCGAGCCAUGCAGCUCUGUGCGCUUAUGCGGUAUUAGCAGCCGUUUCCAGCUGUUAUCCCCCGGUAUGGGGCAGGUCACCCACGCGUUACUCACCCGUCCGCCGCUCAGUCAGUUAAGAAUCAUCCGAAGAAUCUUCUUAACUGCUUCGCUCGACUUGCAUGUGUUAAGCACGCCGCCAGCGUUCAUCCUGACGCCAGGAUACAAACUUCC
Molecule: ribosomal RNA, 500 nt
Filed under: uncultured Lachnospiraceae bacterium
Lineage: Bacteria; Bacillati; Bacillota; Clostridia; Lachnospirales; Lachnospiraceae
Description: partial 16S ribosomal RNA
Source: RNAcentral